RNAcentral lists this ribosomal RNA (303 nucleotides) under uncultured bacterium. Its description in RNAcentral is "partial 16S ribosomal RNA". It matches the Rfam family "Bacterial small subunit ribosomal RNA", at positions 507 to 809 of the family's 1533-position model. The record is from RNAcentral.
AGCAGUCGCCACGGGAAUACAGAGGGUGCAAGCGUUAAUCGGAAUUACUGGGCGUAAAGCGCGCGUAGGUGGUUUGUUAAGUUGGAUGUGAAAUCCCCGGGCUCAACCUGGGAACUGCAUCCAAAACUGGCAAGCUAGAGUAUGGUAGAGGGUGGUGGAAUUUCCUGUGUAGCGGUGAAAUGCGUAGAUAUAGGAAGGAACACCAGUGGCGAAGGCGACCACCUGGACUGAUACUGACACUGAGGUGCGAAAGCGUGGGGAGCAAACAGGAUUAGAUACCCCUGUAGUCCCUGUCUCUUAUAA